GUACACGCUGUGACUAGCAUAUCAAUAAGCGGAGGAAAAGAAACUAACAAGGAUUCCCUCAGUAACGGCGAGUGAAGCGGGAAGAGCUCAAAUUUGAAAUCUUGAAAGGUCACCUUUCACGAAUUGUAGUUUAAAGAAGUGUUUUCUGUUACGAUCGUAAUAUAAGUUCUUUGGAAUAGGACAUCACAGAGGGUGAGAAUCCCGUCUAUGAUUGCGAUUUGUAGCUUUGUGAUACACUUUCAAAGAGUCGGGUUGUUUGGGAAUGCAGCCCAAAACGGGAGGUAAAUUUCUUCUAAGGCUAAAUAUUGGCGAGAGACCGAUAGCGAACAAGUACCGUGAGGGAAAGAUGAAAAGAACUUUGAAAAGAGAGUUAAAUAGUACGUGAAAUUGUCAAAAGGGAAGCGUUUAACACCAGUGUUGUUUUCUGAAAAUCAACCUCUGUUAGCUUUAUGCAUGUUUGUUUAGACCUAAUCAGCUAUCUUUCAUGUUCUAUUGUUUGCAGUGGUGCACUUUUCAGUUUACAGGUCAACAUCAGUUUUUUUUACCGUAAAAAAGUUAAAGAAAGGUAGCUCAUGGCUCCGGUCGUGAGUGUUAUAGUCUUUUUCCUAUGCGGUAGGAGAGACUGAGGUCUGCAGUGUAGGCUAUUUGGCUAGAUACUCAGGUGCUAUGUGAUACCAUUUCAUAAACAACUUGUUGAUUAUGUUUUGUCUAUUGCAUACUCGCUUGUACUAUCAUACCUACGCUUAGGAUGUUGAGUAGCGACAUACGCAC
Molecule: ribosomal RNA, 771 nt
Filed under: uncultured Neocallimastigales
Lineage: Eukaryota; Fungi; Neocallimastigomycota; Neocallimastigomycetes; Neocallimastigales
Description: partial large subunit ribosomal RNA
Rfam family: Eukaryotic large subunit ribosomal RNA (bases 4-661)
Source: RNAcentral